UUGGUUAUUCUAUGUCCUGUUCAAAUUGGAAGAAUAGAAACAGCACAUAGCUUGUGUUUUGACCUCCACAUUACUAAGUUUCAUAUCUUUUGUGCCACAGAAACAUUUGAAGUUAUUAUUCUUAUCGGAACUUGAGCAUAUUCUUGGUUCCUCUGUGAAGUUUAGGAAACUAAGGUCAAAGGAUUUAAUAUUAAAUAACGGUAUGGUGAUCCCAGGGGAUAUAGAUCCAUGAGUCAUCACAAACUUCUAGCUAUUAUUACUACAUUCCUUUGACUCAUCAAUAGCAGCAGUAUUUUCUCGAUUACGUGUUUCCAUCGUAAACUCUUCCCAAUUUAAUUUCAUCACAACUUUACAGAUGAUAACAUAGUCAUAUUGCAAGGUCAGAUAUUUAGGAAGCAUCAUAUUGAAACAUUGACCACACGCCUCAAGAUCAGCAGUAUUCAAUUUGUUUUAACUUUGGCCCCUGGUUAUCACAAUAUACAGGAUGGAUUCAAAUUUAGAAAUUCUGUACUAAGCAUUUACAUUUGAGUUACAUUACUAGAGAUUGACGAAAAUAAAUGCCUGAUAACAUAAAACAUCUGUUUCACCAUUAUCAUACAUUACCGACAGCUUCCAAUCAUGAAAUAUUUAACUUAUCAGUGUGCCUUUGCAAUAUUUUAAUAUUAUUAUUAGCUGCAUCAAACUUGUAGUCACUAACAGUAUUUUGACAAUAACAACAUAGUUUUUUUUUUUAAAUAUCUAAUGAUUGUGUAAUUAACUUAGUCGGAUUGAGAUCUUUAUUUCAAGUAAUUUUACAUUAUUGGUCUAUUUUGUAUCUUACAAAUUUUUGGGUUCACAAUAUGAUUCUCCUCUCCGUAGGGGGGUGGUGUGGCGUUUAAGAACGCACUUUUUUAUGAUGCGUAAGCCGGAACGCACGAGAGGUGGGAAAAAGGAGAUAUUCUGUGACACAGGACCUUUUUACCGCCGAAAAUUUAAAACGUAAAAUAAAACAAUGUGUAUAAUAACUAAUAUAAUAUAAUAACAUAGAAUUGUUUAUGCCGCUACAACAAUAAAAUUUCUAUUGUUUCAA
Long non-coding RNA from Bombyx mori (domestic silkworm), 1069 nucleotides. RefSeq lists it as uncharacterized. Lineage: Eukaryota; Metazoa; Arthropoda; Insecta; Lepidoptera; Bombycidae. The record is from RefSeq and is a predicted model, not a curated record. The transcript is spliced from 2 exons.